AGAACGAACGCUGGCGGCAGGCUUAACACAUGCAAGUCGAACGCGUGUAGCAAUACACGAGUGGCGCACGGGUGAGUAACGCGUGGAUAUCUGCCUUUUGGUUCGGAAUAACCCCGGGAAACUGGGGCUAAUACCGGAUGGUUCCUACGGGAUAAAGAUUUAUCGCCAAAAGAUGAGUCCGCGUACGAUUAGCUAGUUGGUGAGGUAAUGGCUCACCAAGGCGACGAUCGUUAGCUGGUCUGAGAGGACGAUCAGCCACACUGGGACUGAGACACGGCCCAGACUCCUACGGGAGGCAGCAGUGGGGAAUAUUGGACAAUGGGGGCAACCCUGAUCCAGCCAUGCCGCGUGAGUGAUGAAGGCCUUCGGGUUGUAAAGCUCUUUUGGCGGGACGAUGAUGACGGUACCGCAGAAUAAGCCCCGGCUAACUUCGUGCCAGCAGCCGC
Molecule: ribosomal RNA, 446 nt
Filed under: uncultured bacterium
Lineage: Bacteria
Description: SSU rRNA
Rfam family: Bacterial small subunit ribosomal RNA
Source: RNAcentral